RNAcentral lists this long non-coding RNA (231 nucleotides) under Gossypium raimondii (Peruvian cotton). RNAcentral's name for it is "long non-coding RNA (GRAI_LNC004461)". Lineage: Eukaryota; Viridiplantae; Streptophyta; Magnoliopsida; Malvales; Malvaceae. The record is from RNAcentral.
UUUGUUGGUGACAUUUAAAUAUACAUCCAACUGUUGUUGUCAAAAGUACUCCAUCGAAAUAAACUAAUGCGAAAAAUUGAUUAUCCAUCUUCACUAAAUCUGAAAAAAAAUAAAUUAAAUUUCUAAAUAUGCAAUUUCAAAAAAAAAAUAUUGCCACAAAAAAAUAAAAUUAAUAUCUACUAACCUUACGAAUUCUUUUCUUUUUCUCUUCUUCUACAUAAAUUUUUUUCC